GGGGCAUUAGCUCAGCUGGGAGAGCGCAACACUGGCAGUGUUGAGGUCAGCGGUUCGAGCCCGCUAUGCUCCACCA
RNAcentral lists this transfer RNA (76 nucleotides) under Salipaludibacillus agaradhaerens. RNAcentral's name for it is "tRNA-Ala". It matches the Rfam family "tRNA". Rfam says of the family: Transfer RNA (tRNA) molecules are approximately 80 nucleotides in length. Their secondary structure includes four short double-helical elements and three loops (D, anti-codon, and T loops). RNAcentral also lists the same sequence under 5 other names. The record is from RNAcentral. Lineage: Bacteria; Bacillati; Bacillota; Bacilli; Caryophanales; Bacillaceae.